AAAGCAGGAAGUACAGACGUGAAGCCUAGCAGAGGACUUUUUAGCUCCUCACUGGCCCCGCUUGUCUGACCGACCCAUCCGCCCGCGACCCCUAAUCUGCUCUGCCUGCCCCAAGAUGCUGAAGCCAGCCCUGGAGCCCCGAGGGGGCUUCUCCUUCGAGAACUGCCAAAGGUGAAGCGGGGGCGCGGGGGGCGGUCACUCCUGAGCCGCCUCUGCUAGGUCGUGGCCUUUUUUCCUGGCUGAGGGUGGGGGAGGGUGUGUUGGUCGACUUGGGUUCCAGGCUUACCCCGGAAGAUGAGGGAGACGGGGACCAGGUUAGGGGAAGCAACAGGGGUCUUGAAAGCAGAGCCGAAACCUGGGCGCCCUCCUCCGUUUCCAGAAAUGCAUCAUUGGAACGCGUCCUCCCGGGGCUCAGGGUCCCUCAUGCACGCAAGACCGGGACCACCAUCGCGGGCCUGGUGUUCCAAGACGGGGUCAUUCUGGGCGCCGACACGCGAGCCACUAACGAUUCGGUCGUGGCAGACAAGAGCUGCGAGAAGAUCCACUUCAUCGCCCCCAAAAUCUAGUGAGACUCCCCAGCCCAGUUCCCGCACGCAAAAAAAUGGCCCCCUCGUUCCCACUCCGGUAACUGCACGUCCCAGCCCUGCCCACACCGAUCCUCCCUUUUCCCUCAGCUGCUGUGGGGCUGGAGUAGCCGCGGACGCCGAGAUGACCACACGGAUGGUGGCGUCCAAGAUGGAGCUACACGCACUAUCCACGGGUCGCGAGCCCCGCGUGGCCACGGUCACUCGCAUCCUGCGCCAGACGCUCUUCAGGUACCAGGGCCACGUGGGUGCAUCGCUGAUCGUGGGCGGCGUAGACCUGACUGGACCGCAGCUCUACAGCGUGCAUCCCCAUGGCUCCUACAGCCGUCUGCCCUUCACAGCCCUGGGUGAGCGCUUCUGUCCCUUCUCCUCGAACUCUG
Molecule: small RNA, 964 nt
Filed under: Pongo abelii (Sumatran orangutan)
Lineage: Eukaryota; Metazoa; Chordata; Mammalia; Primates; Hominidae
Description: retained intron
Source: RNAcentral